Molecule: ribosomal RNA, 468 nt
Filed under: uncultured bacterium
Lineage: Bacteria
Description: partial 16S ribosomal RNA
Rfam family: Bacterial small subunit ribosomal RNA
Source: RNAcentral
GACGAACGCUGGCGGCGUGCUUAACACAUGCCAGUCGAACGGACAGGCCCUGCUUUUGUGGGGUGCUCGAGUGGCGAACGGGUGAGUAACACGUGAGUAACCUGCCCUUGACUUUGGGAUAACUUCAGGAAACUCGGGCUAAUACCGGAUAGGAGCUCCUGCUGCAUGGUGGGGGUUGGAAAGUUUCGGCGGUUGGGGAUGGACUCGCGGCUUAUCAGCUUGUUUGUGGGGUAGUGGCUUUACAAGGCUUUGAGGGGUAGCCGGCCUGGGGGGGGUACCGGCCACAAUGGGAACGGGGGUAGGGCCAGGAUUCUAACGGGGGCAAACGGGGGGAAAUAUGGAACAAGGGCGGAAGCCCGAAGGAGGAAACUCGGGGGGCGGAUGACGGCCUUCGGGUUGUAAACCGCUUUCGCCUGUGACGAAGCGUGAGUGACGGUAAUGGGUAAAGAAGCACCGGCUAACUACGUG